AGUCGACGCAGAAAGAGCUUGCUUUUCUCUGAGUGGCGAACGGGUGAGUAAUACAUAAGCAACCUACCCAUACGACCGGGAUAACCAUUGGAAACGAUGGCUAAUACCGGAUAGGUGUUCGGGGGACAUCCCCUGGAUAUUAAAGCUGGGAUACAGCACGAAUGGAUGGGCUUAUGGCGCAUUAGUUAGUUGGCGGGGUAACGGCCCACCAAGACGAUGAUGCGUAGCCGACCUGAGAGGGUGACCGGCCACACUGGGACUGAGACACGGCCCAGACUCCUACGGGAGGCAGCAGUAGGGAAUUUUCGGCAAUGGGCGCAAGCCUGACCGAGCAACGCCGCGUGAGUGAAGAAGGCCUUCGGGUUGUAAAGCUCUGUUGUAAGGGAAGAAUGACCAAGAUAGGGAAUGAUCUUGGAGUGACGGUACCUUACCAGAAAGCCACGGCUAACUACGUGCCAGCAGCCGCGGUAAUACGUAGGUGGCAAGCGUUAUCCGGAAUUAUUGGGCGUAAAGGGUGCGUAGGCGGUUUGAUAAGUCUGAGGUGAAAGUUCGGGGCUCAACUCCGAAUUGCCUUAGAAACUGUCAGACUUGAGUGUAGGAGAGGGCAAUGGAAUUCCAUGUGUAGCGGUAAAAUGCGUAGAUAUAUGGAGGAACACCAGUGGCGAAGGCGGUUGCCUGGCCUAUAACUGACGCUGAGGCACGAAAGCGUGGGGAGCAAAUAGGAUUAGAUACCCUAGUAGUCCACGCUGUAAACGAUGAUUACUAAGUGUUGGAGCAAUUCAGUGCUGCAGUUAACGCAAUAAGUAAUCCGCCUGGGGAGUAUGCACGCAAGUGUGAAAC
This 840-nucleotide ribosomal RNA is filed under the name uncultured bacterium. RNAcentral's name for it is "bacterial SSU rRNA". It matches the Rfam family "Bacterial small subunit ribosomal RNA", at positions 60 to 900 of the family's 1533-position model. The record is from RNAcentral.